This 459-nucleotide ribosomal RNA is filed under the name uncultured bacterium. RNAcentral describes it as "partial 16S ribosomal RNA". It matches the Rfam family "Bacterial small subunit ribosomal RNA", at positions 338 to 795 of the family's 1533-position model. The record is from RNAcentral.
GCUACGGGUGGCAGCAGUGAGGAAUAUUGGUCAAUGGCCGAGAGGCUGAACCAGCCAAGUCGCGGGAGGGAAGACGGCCCUACGUGUUGUAAACCUCUUUUGUCGGGGAGCAAAGCGAGUCACGUGUGACCCAUUGAGAGUACCAGAAGAAAAAGCAUCGGAUAACUCCGUGCCAGCAGCCGCAGUAAGACGGAGGAUGCGAGCGUUAUCCGGAUUUAGUGUGUUGACAGGGUGCGCAGGCGGAGGUGCAAGUCAGCGGUCAAAUUGCGGGGCUCAACCCCGUACUGCCGUUGAAACUGCAUCCCUUGAGUGCGCGAGAAGGAUGCGGAAUGCGUGGUGUAGCGGUGAAAUGCAUAGAUAUCACGCAGAACUCCGAUUGCGAAGGCAGCAUACCGGCGCGCAACUGACGCUCAUGCACGAAAGCGUGGGUAUCGAACAGGAUUAGAUACCCCAGUAGUC